GACGAACGCUGGCGGCGUGCUUAACACAUGCAAGUCGAGCGGUAAGGCCCUUUCGGGGGUACGACGAGCGGCGAACGGGUGAGUAACACGUGGGUGACCUGCCCUCAGCUCUGGGAUAAGCCUGGGAAACCGGGUCUAAUACUGGAUAUGACUCCAUGACGCAUGUUGUGGGGUGGAAAGCCUUGUGCGGCUGAGGAUGGGCCCGCGGCCUAUCAGCUUGUUGGGGGGGUGA
RNAcentral lists this ribosomal RNA (232 nucleotides) under uncultured bacterium. RNAcentral's name for it is "partial 16S ribosomal RNA". It matches the Rfam family "Bacterial small subunit ribosomal RNA", at positions 28 to 260 of the family's 1533-position model. The record is from RNAcentral.